UCCGUGCCGUGAGGUGUUGGGUUAAGUCCCGCAACGAGCGCAACCCUCGCCUCUAGUUGCCAGCAUUCGGUUGGGCACUCUAGAGGGACUGCCGGCGACAAGUCGGAGGAAGGUGGGGAUGACGUCAAAUCAUCAUGCCCCUUAUGACCUGGGCUACACACGUGCUACAAUGGGCGGUACAAAGGGCUGCGAACCCGCGAGGGGGAGCGAAUCCCAAAAAGCCGCUCUCAGUUCGGAUUGCAGGCUGCAACUCGCCUGCAUGAAGCCGGAAUCGCUAGUAAUCGCGGAUCAGCAUGCCGCGGUGAAUACGUUCCCGGGCCUU
This 322-nucleotide ribosomal RNA is filed under the name uncultured Geobacillus sp. Its description in RNAcentral is "bacterial SSU rRNA". It matches the Rfam family "Bacterial small subunit ribosomal RNA", at positions 1059 to 1382 of the family's 1533-position model. The record is from RNAcentral. Lineage: Bacteria; Bacillati; Bacillota; Bacilli; Caryophanales; Anoxybacillaceae.